GACGAACGCUGGCGGCGUGCUUAACACAUGCAAGUCGAGCGGUAAGGCCCUUUCGGGGGUACACGAGCGGCGAACGGGUGAGUAACACGUGGGUGACCUGCCCUCAGCUCUGGGAUAAGCCUGGGAAACCGGGUCUAAUACCGGAUAUGACUCCAUGACGCAUGUUGUGGGGUGGAAAGCCUUGUGCGGCUGAGGAUGGGCCCGCGGCCUAUCAGCUUGUUGGUGGGGUGAUGGCCUACCAAGGCGACGACGGGUAGCCGGCCUGAGAGGGCGACCGGCCACACUGGGACUGAGACACGGCCCAGACUCCUACGGGAGGCAGCAGUGGGGAAUCUUGCACAAUGGGCGAAAGCCUGACGCAGCGACGCCGCGUGAGGGAUGACGGCCUGGUGU
RNAcentral lists this ribosomal RNA (393 nucleotides) under uncultured bacterium. RNAcentral describes it as "bacterial SSU rRNA". It matches the Rfam family "Bacterial small subunit ribosomal RNA", at positions 28 to 422 of the family's 1533-position model. The record is from RNAcentral.